GUGCCCGUGGCUCAAUUGGAUAGAGCACAAGAUUCCGGAUCUUGAGGUUGGAGGUUCAAGUCCUCUCGGGCAUA
This 74-nucleotide transfer RNA is filed under the name Candidatus Daviesbacteria bacterium RIFCSPHIGHO2_01_FULL_40_24. Its description in RNAcentral is "tRNA-Arg". It matches the Rfam family "tRNA". Rfam says of the family: Transfer RNA (tRNA) molecules are approximately 80 nucleotides in length. Their secondary structure includes four short double-helical elements and three loops (D, anti-codon, and T loops). Further hydrogen bonds mediate the characteristic L-shaped molecular structure. tRNAs have two regions of fundamental functional importance: the anti-codon, which is responsible for specific mRNA codon recognition, and the 3' end, to which the tRNAs corresponding amino acid is attached (by aminoacyl-tRNA synthetases). tRNAs cope with the degeneracy of the genetic code in two manners: having more than one tRNA (with a specific anti-codon) for a particular amino acid; and 'wobble' base-pairing, i.e. permitting non-standard base-pairing at the 3rd anti-codon position. RNAcentral also lists the same sequence under 4 other names. Lineage: Bacteria; Candidatus Daviesiibacteriota. The record is from RNAcentral.